GCGGAUGUAGUUUAGUGGCAGAACGGUUGCUUCCCAAGCAACAGGUCGGGGUUCGAUUCCCCGUAUCCGCA
RNAcentral lists this transfer RNA (71 nucleotides) under Candidatus Tayloriibacteriota bacterium. RNAcentral describes it as "Candidatus Taylorbacteria bacterium (sediment metagenome) tRNA-Gly". It matches the Rfam family "tRNA". From Rfam's summary of the family: Transfer RNA (tRNA) molecules are approximately 80 nucleotides in length. Their secondary structure includes four short double-helical elements and three loops (D, anti-codon, and T loops). The record is from RNAcentral. Lineage: Bacteria; Candidatus Tayloriibacteriota.